RNAcentral lists this transfer RNA (85 nucleotides) under Phenylobacterium sp. Its description in RNAcentral is "tRNA-Leu". It matches the Rfam family "tRNA". Rfam says of the family: Transfer RNA (tRNA) molecules are approximately 80 nucleotides in length. Their secondary structure includes four short double-helical elements and three loops (D, anti-codon, and T loops). Lineage: Bacteria; Pseudomonadati; Pseudomonadota; Alphaproteobacteria; Caulobacterales; Caulobacteraceae. The record is from RNAcentral.
GCGGAUGUGGCGGAAUUGGUAGACGCACUGGAUUUAGGUUCCAGCGCCGCAAGGCAUGGAGGUUCGACUCCUCUCAUCCGCACCA